Molecule: non-coding RNA, 7847 nt
Organism: Delphinapterus leucas (beluga whale)
Lineage: Eukaryota; Metazoa; Chordata; Mammalia; Artiodactyla; Monodontidae
Source: RefSeq, a predicted model, not a curated record
AGGUUCAUCCAUGCUGUAGCCCAUAUCAGAACUUCAUUCCUUUUUAUGACAGAUAACAUCCAUAUUUUAUUUAUCCAGUUGUCAGUUGAUAGACAUUUGGCAGUUAUGCAUAAUUCAGCUCUGAAUAUUCAUGUGUUUUUGUGUGGACGUAUGUUUUCAUUUCUUUGGAGUAAUAUAUCUAGAGUAGAAUUGCUGGGUCAUAUGGCAACUCCAUUUUAACAUUUUGAGGACCUGCCGGAGGCACAUCAUAUAGUGCCUUUUUCAACUUUGUAUUAUGGAAGUUUCCUACCAUACUGAAAAUGAGAAAGCACCCUGUACCCAUCAUCCAGGUUCAACAACGAUCAACCUUUUGCCAGUCUUGUUUCACCUGCCUUCCCUCCGCCAUUGUUCCCCACUGAGUAGUUUGAAGCCAGUCCAUACACUGCACUUUAUGCCGUUAACUUGGCUGAGAGGUCAACAUUUCCUUUCAUCCCAAACCUUCAGGCCAAGUCUCCUAUACCCAUAUCCUUGUGUGGAUGGAAUUUGGGGACAGUGGAGGAAUUGGGGCAUAGUCUAGAGUGAGUCAGUGUGGGGUGGGAAAGGAAUGCUCCUGAGUGAAGCAAGUCUAGCUACAGGAUUUGCAAAAUGAAAAUGUGGAGCCCUUUGUUCAGAAAUUACUAAGAAGGUCAAGAUAACAACAGUAGAACAUCAAACUUAACGUAGACCGUGUACAACAGCACAAGUCAUGCGCCCAUGAGGCCAGCAAAAGGGCGCCCGAGCAGAACUGAGAACUGAUUGAUUGGCUGCAGGAAUUUUGAGCUUUGGGUGCCUAGGAGAGACACAAGCAUCCCUCACCCCCAAUCUCUGGAAAGGAGAGUUGGGUCUCUCAUGGCAUGUGGGACAGCGUUUAAGUCCGUUCCAUUGGAAUCUCCAAAAAUAAGAUGACCCCAGCUGACAUGUGGGUUAUAAGUACUUUUUUAAAAUAGCCAUUUGUCUUAAGCCUUCUUCCCUAAGAACCUGCGGUUGUUUUAUUUGGCCACACCAGUUUGUCCUGGACUCUGAGUGUACCGUGAUAUCACGGCAAAUGACAGGGCUGCAGGACAGAGGCCUGCUGGUGAGCAAGCAAUCCAGAGCAGUAGCAGGACCAGGGAUACCCAUUAGAGGCAGGUGGCCAUGGCAGACACUGGCAACCAUCAUGGCACCCAAUCCCUCCCAGCUCAGACAGAGCUCCAUUAUCCUUCUCAAAGGACAGCCUCCACCAAGCAAAUGAACCUUAUUUCUCGUGCUUAUCUAGACUCUCAACCCAAGAAUUCACCUAGAGAUUCAGAGCCUGCAGUUUGUGUUGGGAUGACACUGCAAGGAUGCACUUAGACUAACGAAACCUUGUCAUGAAGGGGAACGCAACAUGACUGAGAAGGAGGGAGAGAGUGGAAGAGAGGGACUCACUGAAGAGAGCAGAUAAGGACCUUGCAGCGCCUCCUGUUCUCUGUGGCAUGUUCAAUGAAUGAGUGAACAUUCAUUCAUUCGUUCAAUUAUUUGAGGACUUAUACAUAAGAGACUGAGUACACAGGCAUGAGUAAUAUAGUAGUCAACACGACAGACACAGUUCCUACCCGUAGGGGCAGGAGAGGCAAUCAUAAACCAAAGAGGAAGAGAACAUUUUACAUUUGAUUGAAAUAAUAUAACAACGGCAAAAAAACCCAACAACAGGUCUGAGUAAAUUCGGCUGGCAGCUUUGGGGUUUAUAGACAGUGGAUCUUAAAGCAAAGCCCAACACAGGAUUUUGGCAAUUCUCAGCAGAGUGAAUGUGGAAGCAGCACAACCAGGAGAAGGCUCUGGAGGAGGUACAUGGCUCAGGGUUUUAUUUUUGUUUCUUCACCUGCCAGCACUUUCUCCCCCCAACUUCCGUUAACGGACACGAUGCCCAGUGGGAAGAUGGCCGCUUACAGCACCCAAGCCUCAGCUAUAGUAAUUGGUCCAGGCAUAGACACGUGACUCAAAUACAACCAAUCACAGCAGCCCACUUCUGAGCUGAGCUGCAGUGAUUGGUCCAGGUGUGGUCAUGUGACCCAAGCAGGGCCAAUCCAGGAUUACCCUAACCACAGCUGGUGAGAAGGCUGCUUUUCCCACCCCCUCUCCAGCAUCCAGAGCUAUCUGUGACCACAGAGACUGAGGCCAGUAUGGAGGAAGGGAGAAAUGAGGAUUGGGAUGGCGGUAUGGGGUGGAGAGAGAGACUGGCGCUGCGUUCUGUCCCUGGAUCCAAGAGCAACUCAGCCUCUUUUGUUCUUCAUCAUAGCUACCUGAGAUCAGCUCUGGUUUCCGUAUGGUCCAAAGCAUCCCAAUUCAGGACUUGGGAACUGUUUUUCCCUCUUCACGGAUUGUGUGAAUCUAAAAGGGGUAGGCUAUCCUCAGAGCUCAUUCUCCCCUAGGUUUGCCUGCUGUACUUGGGAAUGAGAGAUUCCCCAGACACAUCUCCAUGCUCCCCCGCUCCAAUUAAUCUACCACUGAAUCAGAGCUAAACACUUAUUCUUGGACUUCAAGUCCUGCCUUCUUCCUGCUUGCUUGCUUCUCUCCGACCUCAUUCCCAACAUACACCCACCUCCCCUUCCCACCCUGCUCUCCACCAAGGAUGGAGCCUGCAGCUUGCUGUGGCCUCUGCUCCAAUGCCCACCACAUUAUAUUUGCAAUGAUUUACUUAUGACUGUUACCCCCCAUGACCUUGAGCCUGGGGACCUGCGUCUCACUCAUCUUUGCACCCCCAGCAGCUGGCACACAGCAGGUGGGAAGCAAAUGCGGGAGGGAGGGAGGGAAAGGAGGAGGAGGGGAGAAAGGGUCACUCCCUCCUACUGAGUCUGGCCAACAGAUGGAUCACUCAGAGGGUCAAGUUCUAUACUUGUUUCCUUCGCCAGAUACUCUUCCCUCAGGUGGACACACAGCUCGUGCUCCCAACCCCUUCAGGCCUCUAUUUCAGUGUCACCUGGGAACUGCAUUCUCCCAGUCCCCUUCUUGACCCCUGCCCCUCUUCCAUGCUUUCUUGUUCUCUUUCUUGUUCCCUUCCACCACCAUCAGUCUUUCUCCAUGUUCUAUUUAUUUUAUCUCCUCUCUCUCUCCCCCUCUCUCUCCCUCUCUCUCUCACUGAAAUGUCAACUCCAGGUGGGCAGCCAUCUUUGAUUUGUUCCCUGAUGUCUCCUCAGCACCUAGUAGAUGCUCAAUAAAUAUCUGUGGAAUGAAUGAAUUCACCAAAAACCACAGUCUUGCCAAAUUUGUUUCUCCUUAUGCACUUCAUGUGUUUUACAGGUGUCAGGUGAUGUAUUAGUUUCCUAGGGCAGCCAUAACAAAUUACUACAAACCGAGUGGCUUAAAACUAUAGAAAUCUAUUAUUUCAAAGUUCUGGAGGCUAGAAGUCCAAACUCUGGCAGGGCUAUACUCCUCCCAGGUGCUCCAGAGGAAAAUCCAUGCCUUGCCUCUUCCAGCUUCUGGUGGCUCCAGUGUUCCUUGACAUGUGGCUGCAUCACUCCAAUCUCUACUUCCAUCUUCCUACGUUCUUCUGUCUGUCUGUCUCUGCUUCUCUCAUACAAGGAUGCAUGUAACUGCCUUUAGUGCCCAUCCGAAUAAUCCAGGGUAAACUCCACCUCUCAAGACCCUUAACUUAAUCACAUCUUUUUCCAUAUAAGGAAACCUGUGAAGGUUCUGGGAGAGAAGUGGACAUAGCUUUUCUCUCUCUGGGGAUCGCCAUUCAGUCCACUGUAUGAUUGGCAUAAAGACCAGAAAAGCAAAGAUUCCCACCACCACUCCAUUGGCCUGACAGAUACGUAAUGAAAAAGAGUAUUAUUGUUGUAUUACAUUGCCCUGGUCAAAGGAAAUAGGGGAAAUAAAGGAGCCCCUUUGCAUUUUUUCUCUAACUCCAGUUUCACUUUUUAAAUGUAACCACCGUAUGCAGUCCGCAUAAUCUUCAUAGAUUUUCUAACCAUAGUCGAGAGCAUAUACUUUUUUGGCUCCUAACAUUAAGAAAAUUGGAGGGGCUGGGCGUUAUAAUAUAUCCUGAAGACAUGACAGCCCUCUGACCCACCACAAUCUUUCUAAUGACUUCUAGCAAUGCACCAUACUUAACCUGUCCCCCACUGGCCAGCAUUUCAGUUAACUCCAGGAUUUUGCAGUUGUAACAUACAUACUCUCUGGCAUGUGUCCCAGUAUCCCCAUCAGAUACAUUCCUAGAAGUGGAAUUUCUAGGUCAGAGGAUAUGUGCAUUUUUAACUUUCUACAGCUAUUGCCCAGUGCCCUUCACCAAGGUGGCAUCAUUCACAGGCCCAUCAACAAUGCACAAGUGAGGGUGUCUGUUUCCAACACCCUCGCCCCCCUUGGCAAGGAUGCAGCAUGUCAGGAGGAAGCAAAUCUCAAACUCAGGUAAGUGGACUUUCCAUGUGGACCUGGGUGAGGGUGGACACGGCCUCCAAAGUUGUCCCUGUGGCUUUCUGAGGUGCUAAGUCAUUCACAGUUCUCGUUUGGCUUUUAUAAACAAAGGCAGAGUUUGGGGAGUUGGGCCAGAACUGUGCAGCGGAUGCAUUGUGCAACUCAGUAUUUAUUUCUUUAGUGCGGUCAGAACUUAAAUAUGGUCAAAACAUAUUCUUCUUUUAAUUUACACAAACAAAUAUGUUCCCGGGCUGACACCUCCAGUGCCAAGUUUCUAGGGCAAAUGAAAUUCUACUGUGAGAGGAUAAACCACUAGAGAGAAGAUGAGGGUGGAAAAGUCGCCACCGUUUGCUUUGCACAUCCGAACUGGGCUGCUGAGAGGUGUUUCAGAACUGGGCUCUUGCCUUUUGGUCUCUUUCUGUCUUUGCCGCAGAUAAACUUGCCAGUAAUUUCAGUGCAUGAAACAUGGAACGUGUCGAGGCCAGAGGAUGGAAAACACUCCGGUUUUGAUAAAAGGAGGUCUGCUCGCCUUGGAAUCCUCCACCCUGCUAGUCAGCAGACGCAAAGAUUUAUCCAGAGAGGGGCUGAUGAAUUGAGAAAACAGAACUGAGGCCAAUGAUCUCAGUUCCCAGACCAGGGAUUGAACCCGGGCCAUGGCAGUGAAAACCCGGAAUCCUAACCACUAGGCCACAGGGAACUCCCUGGGAUGAACUUCUUAUUUUGAACACUGUCAAAUACAGGCGAAAGAGUCAAGCAUUUAUCCUUUCUGGUAUGAACCAUACUUUACAGUAACCAAAUGGCUGAUCAGGGGAAGUUUCUUUAUAGACAUAUUCCAGCUAACAAACAAAGACAGAAGGAUAGAAUUAGUAAGCCACCCUUUUCAACCUCUAAUGGAUCUAGACAGUGAUCAUCAAUGGCUACUAACAUCAUGAAGAGGGACAACCACACAUUAUGUGCCUUCAAAUAGAAAUACAAAACAGCCACUAGGAAGUAGUCAUACAAACACAAAAAACAAACAUGAAUCUAAGUGAACCUCUAGAUCUAACUACUGAUUUACAAGCAACAGAGUGGGCAGAGGAACACGUAUAACACCAGCACGGGGAUGCAAUAAGCAAAAUCCAGACCGGAACACUCUACAGAGCAACCAACCCAGUUUCCUCAACAAAUAAAUUGCAAGAGAAGAAAGAGGAAGGGAGGGAGAACCCGCAGAUUAAGAAAGGCGUAAGAGGCGUAUCAACCAGGCACAAUGUAUGAACCUUAUACGAAUCCUGAUUUUAACUGUAAAGAAAACAGUUAUGAGACAACCAGAAAAUUCUGAACACUGGAUAUUUGCUGAUAUUAAAGCAUUACUGUUAGUAGGUGUGAUGGUGGUAAAAAAAAAAUCCUUUUUCUUUUGGAGUCAUAAACGAAAAUAUUUGCAGAAGAAAUGGUUGAUGUCUGGAAUUUGCUUAGUAUCUGAGUAUCUGGGAUGAGGGAGGAGGGGAAGGGGGUAUAGAUGGAACAAGGUUGGCUGAGAGUUGGUGAUUAUUGAAGCUGGGUGACGGAUAGCUGGGGUUUAUGGUACCAUGUACUCUACUCUUGUGUGCACUUGUGUAUUGGUUUGACUUGCCCACCACUGCUGGCAUCUCUGGGCAAGCCUGGGUAGCAGGUUUGAGAUACAUCUCAGUGCGUGCAUGUGUGCACACCCUCUCCUGUCUCCAUGGCAACCACUGAGGUGAGAAAGCAGCAUCCAAAAGGUUCCUGUCCACAUGAGGAUCCGGCCAGGCUGCUGGUGUUGUGCUCGGCCCACCGUGGCUGCUCCCUUUGGAGAAUUCCUAGUCAGAUCUUCACAGUCCCACCCCCACACACCAGAUCUGCCUCCUUGCACCCCUUUGCUGUCACUCGUGCUCUCCCUGUGCACCCCCUGAGGAAGUAGAGACCAAUUAGUGGAGAGACAGGACCCUGAAUCAGAUCCAAGUUCAAUUUUUGAUGUCUCCACUUAAUGGCAGGACCUUUAACCUCCCUGAGUCUCAAUUUUCUCACCUGUAAAAUGGGUAUGAUGUGACCUCAACGAACUCAACAAAUCUUUAUUAUGGGGGGGGACAGUGGCAAAAAGGACCUAGUCUCCACCUUAUGGAACUAGACACCCGGAGGUAAAAGGCAAUCUUAAGAGUAUGUACUGUGAUAAAGUACAUGUUUAAAAAAAUUUUUUUUGAAAACUGGCAGUCACUACUUAUGAAAGCUCAUAACUCUAAAUCAUACUUUUCAUUAACCAGGAUAUCCACACUUUCCAGCUACUGACUAUCCUCUAUGCCAGACCUAUAGAAUAUUUUCACUUAACUGAGUGCUCAUAUUUCCAUGAAGUAAGUACUAUUAUCACUACGAUUUUAUGGAGGAGGAAACUAGGCAUUAGAGGUGAGAUAACUUGCCCACGGCUGCACCGUGGGUGCAUGGCCCUGUCUUCUUUGCUCGGCCCUCUGCAUUGAUUAAGCUCUGAAAUGCAGCAGCAGGGCUGGGAAACCAGAACUACCAGGAGGCCAAAAGCCCUCCAGGUCAAACCCCAUUUUGCAAAUGAGGAAGCAGUGGCCCCGAGAGGCCAAGUAACUUGUUCCAAGCCGCAAGCUGAAUUGGCUGCUUAACCUGUGUCCAGGCUGCUUGGGGAGAAGGUACAGGGAAGCCCCACGUGGUAAGGGAGGCUUAUUUCCCCAGUUCAUCCUGUCCCAGGGUAGGGUGACCAGUCAUCCUGGGGUUUCCCAGGACUGGGAACUUUAGGUGCUUAAAUCAGGGAAGUCCUGGGCCCACUGGGAUGAGUUGAUCACGCUGUCUCACAGCGAGGCAUCUAAAUGGAUGUUUUCUAGGACAUGAGAACCAGAACCAAGUCCCCACAGAAGUACUGGGGCUUCAUGCCUUAUAUAAUUAACUGAUUAUUAAUAUCUAGGCCCCCCCUGCCCCAGCCAGACUCUCCACCCACAGGGGUAGGGACCAGUAAUGUGAUAUCCACUUCUGUUCUACAGCCCCUGACUCAACGGUGACCCAUGAAUGACACUCAAUAAACAGUGAUCGAAUGGACCAACCAACACUAUCAUCACCUCUGACUAGGCCUCCAUCUGAAAUUGCAGAAACCCUCUAUAGCUGCCGUGACCUCCAGUUCCCAUUUCAGACAGGCUGGUAUCCAUGAUAUCACAUGAUAGAAGAUGAUUCCAGAAAAAGACUGGCCAAGAGGCUCCUGGACGGAGCUAUGGCAGACAAGACUGGGUGUGGUUUUUCUUUAAUUAUUGUACCUGUUUUGUCUGUUCUUUCUUGGCUCUGUUCACAUCCCCAUCCCAGCACCAGUGCAGGAAAACAAAACAAAAACAAAACAUUAUCGCAGAGUUUGAGACAAGAUGGCUGGCUGGUUCCCACUCUGCUUGUACUUAAUGCCAAAAAUGUUCAAGACUUGUCUUGGCCACAAAGGUAAUAAUAAAAUCAGGCAGUCUGGU